RNAcentral lists this ribosomal RNA (497 nucleotides) under uncultured bacterium. Its description in RNAcentral is "partial 16S ribosomal RNA". It matches the Rfam family "Bacterial small subunit ribosomal RNA", at positions 28 to 507 of the family's 1533-position model. The record is from RNAcentral.
GAUGAACGCUGGCGGCGUGCCUAAUACAUGCAAGUCGAGCGAACAGAUGAGGAGCUUGCUCCUCUGACGUUAGCGGCGGACGGGUGAGUAACACGUGGAUAACCUACCUAUAAGACUGGGAUAACUUCGGGAAACCGGAGCUAAUACCGGAUAAUAUAUUGAACCGCAUGGUUCAAUAGUGAAAGACGGUUUUGCUGUCACUUAUAGAUGGAUCCGCGCCGCAUUAGCUAGUUGGUAAGGUAACGGCUUACCAAGGCAACGAUGCGUAGCCGACCUGAGAGGGUGAUAGGCCACACUAGAACUGAGACACGGUCCAGACUCCUACGGGAGGCAGCAGUAGGGAAUCUUCCGCAAUGGGCGAAAGCCUGACGGAGCAACGCCGCGUGAGUGAUGAAGGUCUUCGGAUCGUAAAACUCUGUUAUUAGGGAAGAACAAAUGUGUAAGUAACUAUGCACGUCUUGACGGUACCUAAUCAGAAAGCCACGGCUAACUACGUG